AUACGGAGGAUCCGAGCGUUAUCCGGAUUUAUUGGGUUUAAAGGGAGCGUAGGUGGACAGUUAAGUCAGUUGUGAAAGUUUGCGGCUCAACCGUAAAAUUGCAGUUGAUACUGGCUGUCUUGAGUACAGUAGAGGUGGGCGGAAUUCGUGGUGUAGCGGUGAAAUGCUUAGAUAUCACGAAGAACUCCGAUUGCGAAGGCAGCUCACUGGACUGCAACUGACACUGAUGCUCGAAAGUGUGGGUAUCAAACAGGAUUAGAUACCCUGGUAGUCCACACAGUAAACGAUGAAUACUCGCUGUUUGCGAUAUACAGUAAGCGGCCAAGCGAAAGCAUUAAGUAUUCCACCUGGGGAGUACGCCGGCAACGGUGAAACUCAAAGGAAUUGACGGG
Molecule: ribosomal RNA, 392 nt
Filed under: uncultured bacterium
Lineage: Bacteria
Description: partial 16S ribosomal RNA
Rfam family: Bacterial small subunit ribosomal RNA
Source: RNAcentral